Molecule: ribosomal RNA, 253 nt
Filed under: uncultured bacterium
Lineage: Bacteria
Description: partial 16S ribosomal RNA
Rfam family: Bacterial small subunit ribosomal RNA
Source: RNAcentral
UACGAAGGGGGCGAGAGUUGUUCGGAAUCACUGGGCGUAAAGCGCACGUAGGCGGCGCGUUAAGUCAGGGGUGAAAUCCUGGAGCUCAACUCCAGAACUGCCUUUGAUACUGGCGUGCUCGAGUGUGGGAGAGGUUGGUGGAACUCCGAGUGUAGAGGUGAAAUUCGUAGAUAUUCGGAAGAACACCAGUGGCGAAGGCGGCCAACUGGCCCAUUACUGGCGGUGAGGUGCGAAAGCGUGGGGAGCAAACAGG